This 496-nucleotide ribosomal RNA is filed under the name uncultured bacterium. Its description in RNAcentral is "partial 16S ribosomal RNA". It matches the Rfam family "Bacterial small subunit ribosomal RNA", at positions 28 to 507 of the family's 1533-position model. The record is from RNAcentral.
GACGAACGCUGGCGGCGUGCCUAAUACAUGCAAGUUGAGCGAUGAAGAUUGGUGCUUGCACCAAUUUGAAGAGCAGCGAACGGGUGAGUAACGCGUGGGGAAUCUGCCUUUGAGCGGGGGACAACAUUUGGAAACGAAUGCUAAUACCGCAUAAUAACUUUAAACAUAAAUUUUAAGUUUGAAAGAUGCAAUUGCAUCACUCAAAGAUGAUCCCGCGUUGUAUUAGCUAGUUGGUGAGGUAAAGGCUCACCAAGGCGAUGAUACAUAGCCGACCUGGGAGGGUGAUCGGCCACAUUGGGACUGAGACACGGCCCAAACUCCUACGGGAGGCAGCAGUAGGGAAUCUUCGGCAAUGGACGAAAGUCUGACCGAGCAACGCCGCGUGAGUGAAGAAGGUUUUCGGAUCGUAAAACUCUGUUGGUAGAGAAGAACGUUGGUGAGAGUGGAAAGCUCAUCAAGGGACGGUAACUACCCAGAAAAGGACGGCUACUACGUG